This 71-nucleotide transfer RNA is filed under the name Marmota monax (woodchuck). RNAcentral describes it as "tRNA.Ser". The stretch from base 6 to 66 matches the Rfam family "tRNA", at positions 6 to 65 of the family's 71-position model. From Rfam's summary of the family: Transfer RNA (tRNA) molecules are approximately 80 nucleotides in length. Their secondary structure includes four short double-helical elements and three loops (D, anti-codon, and T loops). Lineage: Eukaryota; Metazoa; Chordata; Mammalia; Rodentia; Sciuridae. The record is from RNAcentral.
GGGGAUGUGGCUCAGUGGUUGAGCACUUGCCUACUAUGCACAAUGCUCUAGGUUUAAUUCCUAGCACUACA